RNAcentral lists this unclassified non-coding RNA (214 nucleotides) under plant metagenome. RNAcentral's name for it is "partial contains small subunit ribosomal RNA and internal transcribed spacer 1". The stretch from base 1 to 46 matches the Rfam family "Eukaryotic small subunit ribosomal RNA", at positions 1786 to 1831 of the family's 1831-position model. The record is from RNAcentral.
AAGUCGUAACAAGGUCUCCGUAGGUGAACCUGCGGAGGGAUCAUUACAGAGUUCAUGCCCUUCGGGUAGAUCUCCCACCCUGUGUUAUAUACUUUUUGCUUUGGCGGGCCUUGGGCUCACCUCGACUACCCGGCUUCGGCUGGUAAGCGCCCCGCCAGAGGACCCAAAACCCUGAAUAUUAAGUGUCGUCUGAGUACUUAUAUAAUAGUUAAAA